This is a long non-coding RNA of Oncorhynchus keta (chum salmon), 698 nucleotides long. RefSeq lists it as uncharacterized. The record is from RefSeq and is a predicted model, not a curated record. Lineage: Eukaryota; Metazoa; Chordata; Actinopteri; Salmoniformes; Salmonidae. The transcript is spliced from 8 exons.
GUUAGACUAGCCAGCUACUGUAAAUGUCAAUGUGUCAGGUUAGACGAGCCAGCUACUGUAAAUGUGUCAGGUUAGACUAGCCAGCUACUGUAAAUGUGUCAGGUUAGACUAGCCAGCUACUGUAAAUGUCAAUGUGUCAGGUUAGACGAGCCAGCUACUGUAAAUGUGUCAGGUUAGACGAGCCAGCUACUGUAAAUGUCAAUGUGUCAGGUUAGACGAGCCAGCUACUGUAAAUGUCAAUGUGUCAGGUUAGACGAGCCAGCUACUGUAAAUGUCAAUGUGUCAGGUUAGACGAGCCAGCUACUGUAAAUGUCAAUGUGUCAGGUUAGACGAGCCAGCUACUGUAAAUGUCAAUGUGUCAGGUUAGACGAGCCAGCUACUGUAAAUGUCAAUGUGUCAGGUUAGACGAGCCAGCUACUGUAAAUGUCAAUGUGUCAGGUUAGACGAGCCAGCUACUGUAAAUGUCAAUGUGUCAGGUUAGACGAGCCAGCUACUGUAAAUGUCAAUGUGUCAGGUUAGACGAGCCAGCUACUGUAAAUGUCAAUGUGUCAGGUUAGACGAGCCAGCUACUGUAAAUGUCAAUGUGUCAGGUUAGACGAGCCAGCUACUGUAAAUGUCAAUGUGUCAGGUUAGACGAGCCAGCUACUGUAAAUGUCAAUGUGUCAGGUUAGACGAGCCAGCUACUGUAAAUGUCAAGA